AAAGGAAAGAGCUGAGCACCGGGAGAGGCAGCCCGCGCCCCGCCAAUGCCGCAUGGCUGCUUCCAUCCUAGGCUGAGAAAAUCUAUUUCUGGGAGUCUCUGACUUUAGGAGAAGGCACAACAAGGAUGUGUGGCAAGUAAACAGCUCCUUUCACCCAGUGCCUUGGAUGCAGACAAGGGGAGGAGUCGCAUGUGCCAGCCGGUCCCAGCCCAGUCCCUCCAGAGGGUGCUGGUGAAUGUCCUGAUGAUGCUCCAGCACUGAGGACAAUUUUCCAGGUAACUGUUUCUAAAUGCAGCUUGCAAGCGUCCCAUCCGCGUCAGAACGCAGGCAGAGGACAGAUUGGUGGGAGCGCAUGUUAGUUGAGCAAGGGCAUGGACACAAUGGCAGUAAGUGGAGGCUAUGAAGGGGGCAUGUGGAAGGGGGACAGUGGCAGGGUCAGGGAAUGUAUGGUAAGGAGCCAUUGUGUUAACCUGCUUAAAUAAAAUCACCCCCUGCCACUUCGCACCUGUUGCUUUUGAAAACACAAAAUGAGCGAUUUCUACUCCCCUGUCCAGCCUGCCAAUCCCCCACCUCACUCAGAACCCCUGCAUGAUACGGGGGGCUGGCUAGCUCAGAGGGACAGAGACUGGGGUAUAGGGUUGCUCCCUUCUAGGGGGCACCAGCUCCAA
This is a long non-coding RNA of Trachemys scripta elegans, 668 nucleotides long. RefSeq lists it as uncharacterized. The transcript has 3 exons. The record is from RefSeq and is a predicted model, not a curated record. Lineage: Eukaryota; Metazoa; Chordata; Testudines; Emydidae.